UUUCGGUGGCCCUGGGGGGCCUUGAAAGGGAAGCCGGUGGGAAUCCGGAACUGUGCCCGCAGCUGUGUCAUCCUUAACGGUGCCGAUAAUGCCAUUGGAGUAUAGACCUCCGAGAAGGCCGGAACCGGGAGAAGUCAGAAGACCUGCCGCAAUCA
Molecule: non-coding RNA, 155 nt
Filed under: bovine gut metagenome
Source: RNAcentral